UGAGGAACAUGACCUUCGGCGGGGGAUAGCCAGCCCAACGGCCGGGUAAUACCGCGUACGACCACUUUGGGACAUCCCUAGGUGGUGAAAGCAGCAAUGCGCCGAUGGAGUGCCUCGCGGCCUAUCAGCUAGUUGGUGAGGUAACGGCUCACCAAGGCGACGACGGGUAGCUGGUCUGAGAGGAUGGCCAGCCACAUUGGGACUGAGACACGGCCCAGACCUCCGUAGGGAGG
RNAcentral lists this ribosomal RNA (233 nucleotides) under uncultured bacterium. RNAcentral's name for it is "partial 16S ribosomal RNA". It matches the Rfam family "Bacterial small subunit ribosomal RNA", at positions 118 to 347 of the family's 1533-position model. The record is from RNAcentral.